Anolis carolinensis (green anole) is the source of this 8047-nucleotide long non-coding RNA. RefSeq lists it as uncharacterized. The transcript has 2 exons. The record is from RefSeq and is a predicted model, not a curated record. Lineage: Eukaryota; Metazoa; Chordata; Lepidosauria; Squamata; Anolidae.
GUUUGUGUGCACUGUUUGAAAAGCAUGCUUAAAGAAACACGCCAAAGAGUCUGCUCUGCAUAAAGGGAAGAAAGUACAGGCAUAUGAAGAGCUGGGAGGUUUGCUCCACUUCACCUGCCGUAAAGGUCCCCAGUCAAAGCAGAAACUGGAGCCAUGGGCCAACAUCCGGAUGAGAAAGCGACGCUAAAUGGAAAGAUGCUCAGCUGUUCGCCCAAUAAUCCUACUUUAGGGAAGACAGGUUCCUAUCUGUCAAGCAUUUGUUCCCACAGCAGUUGGUGCUAAAAACCAGCAGGAUAUUCCACAGCAAUGGCAUCUGAAGGGGAAGAGAAAUCGAAAGUGUGUGUCUUGGACACAAUAUCAGCUCAGCCAUUUCAUAUCUGUUAAUCAUAUUUUUUUGAAAUCUUGUUUAAAACUCAAACGAUCUGGUUUUGCUGAUAAGACCAGUUUGGAUUUACGACUAACCAGAAAAGAUUUACCGAAGCACGCAGCCUUUACCGAGGGCUGUUUUCACAAAAUUGGACUGCGGUCACGCAUUUACAUGCUCAGCAAUGCCUCCUUUAUGAGAAGCGUGCCCUCCCCAUGGCGCGUGGACGAUCCUCAUUGGCACAGACGGCCCCAGAGACUGGACCCUGAUGACUCCUAAGAAUCCCUUGCGCCAUGGGACAAGAGACACCAGUUAAACCUGGGAUGUGAGCAUUACAUAAUAGUGAGAGAAUGCCUUCCAUCGUUAACACAAAUAGAUGGCGGAAGGGCAGCCAAGUCACCCACUGGCUGUCCAAGCAAAGGAGAAAUCCGCUACCCAUGGAAUAACAGGACUUGCUAUAUCUGCUAAACAUGGGCCUCUAUGAGAUGGGGGAAAGGACAUGCAAGUAUCAUGGUUCUGAUCAUUUCUACAUGGCUCGUGCUUAGGAGUGGACAAAGACCUGUGUGGCCAACUUCCUUUAUUCAUGCUGGAGGAACCUGGAAGAUAUUUGGCCAAUCGCAUCCCCUGGUACGAACCUGCCUGGGCCCUGAGAUCCGCUUCAGGAGAGGCCCUUCUCUCAGUCCCACCUCCAUCUCAAGCUCAACUGGUGGGAAUGAGAGGGAAGGCCUUCUAGGUGGCUGUCCCUCGGCACUGGAAGCCAUUAUAGCCCCCUCCCUGCUGUCCUCCAGGCAGAAAGUUAAAGCCUUUUUAUUCAGGCAGGCUUUUAAAGAAGGUUUUUAAGACAAUCAGGGGAUGCUUUUAACCCGGCGGUGCCCAGGUUAUUAGAAGGCACUAUUUCUUUUGGGAUGUUAGGAAAUAUCACUUAAGUUUGGUCCAGAUCCAUCAGUGCUAUCUGGAUAAGGGAUUCCCAAAACAAUCACCCCCAAAGCAGGCCUGUAUGCAGAAUUGGCCAUGUUGGGUUCAGUGCUUUCUGGAUGUAGGUGAACUAUAACUCCCAAAAUCAAGGUCCAUUCCCAGUACGGUCUGUAGUAUGUUCAGUUGGUCAUGGGGCUUCUCUGUGCCAGGUUUGAUCCCAAUUGAUUGUCGAUGAAGGUCACAGUACCAGUGAAGGUACUUCAAGUCCCAUCAUCCGUGGCAAGUGUGAUCCAGAUUCAUUGUUGGUUGGAUGAACAGUACCCUCUGGAUGUAGGUCAAGUAUAAGUCUUGUAAAUUGUGGUAUGAAUUCUCCCCUAACCUCUUGUUCAGUUGCUGAUCAAUUCCUUUGUUCACUGUGUGCCAGGAAAUGAUAUGAAAGGGUUAAGGUAGAGGCGGUGGGCGGGGCCAUGCAAAUGAAAAAACCCUGGGAUAUCCAUUCUGGAGGAAAAACAGAACAUCUAGGAUGAAAUGGGCCCCGCAUGAAAGCCUUCACUUGGGUGGGGGGCAGAUGGGUGUUUGUGAAGGACAUUGGCAGGGUUUGGGCUGCAUGUUCGUGGCACUCACUAUAACCUGCAAAGUCAGGUGAGGGAGUGAUUUGGUGGCUCCACAGCACUGGAAACUAUAGCCUCUUUGUGGAGGCCGGAGGCUGUUUGUGAGCAGACACCCGUGCCACAUACACACAGGUUUUCACUUUUAUUAUGGAUAUAGAUAUAGAUAAAUAUAAUCAGGGGAUGCUUUCCAUACAGCCCAGAAAACUCACAGCAAGCCAAUAAUAAUAAUUUCUAAAAAGACUAGAAAUUUCCUAGAGAGGUGUUCAUCAUUCAUGGUUUUUCACCUUCAAGGGGAUCCUGUGACCCCCAAACCAAGAAAACGGGGAGGGCUGACUGUAGUAGGCAAUGUUAUGGAAGAUUUGCCAUACUGCAGAUGAGCAAGGAAAUACGCUUUCAGGGAGACCCUCAGCAGAUGGGUUCUGUUCUAACUGGUGAGCACAGUAGGAAACUCAAAAGGAUUCCCCAACUAAGACAUCUCCAGGUUUCCAUAACUUUCACGACCAUCUGCAUUGUCAACCAUGGGUUCUACCACUGCAUGACCUACAGCUAUUUUCAUAGAGGUUUAAUACACAACAUGAGACAACUUUGUUGGCUGGAUGGACUAGAUGGCCUUUUAUCCCUUCCCUGACAAUGUUUCUGUGUAGAGAUGAAAAGCCUCUGAUCCAUCCACUCUGACAGCUGCUGGCUCCUCUUUCUCCCAGGAAGCCAUUUGAACAGAUGGCGCCCUGCGCUUCCUACAUGGUGCCACAUCCUUCUACCAUGUACGCAUUCGCACAAAAUUAACUUGUGGUGGUGGUGGGGGGGGGGGGAUUGCAAAGAAUAGUGCUGUGUUACAGCUUAGACAUUUGCAGAAGAAACAGUACAGUUUGCAACAGUCCUAUGAGCAGCACAUGCUCCAAAUUUGUCUCUAUUUUCCAAUGACUUGGCCUCAGAAGUCAAAUAUGUGAGACAAGGGGUCCACAUGCCACCCAGGAAGGAGGGAAAUCAGGAGGGAAAUGGAGAGAAUCCAAGCCAUGAGAAUCACGUCUCGGUUAGAAUACAACCCAAGAAGAGCUCCUUAUUGACAUGGCAGAUUGAGAGGCUGUGCAACCAAUAUGGACAAGUAGCAAUUGAGGGGUUUGAACCCUCCAGUCACCUUAUGCCUUCCUUUCAGAGCCACCUUUGCUAACCUGUGAGUUCUUGCAUGCCCAGGCAGAGAACUGACAGUGUAUUUUGUCAGUAUAUUUUUAUCAUUUCUAGCUAAACCUGUUUGCCUUCGAUGGUCUGUGCCCUAGCAAAAGAACAACUGUACCUUUUAAAACACAAUGCUUGUGCAUUCAAAUUCAUACCCUCACUGCGAGUAGAAAGCUAUAUUUUUUGUAAGACAGGCACCAGGAUCUGUGCAAGAACAAAAAGCAAUUGCAUUUGUGUGCAGUCCACAUACAGCGGCGUUUCAGCUCCUAUUUAAUUCUGCCCAACAUCUUGGAUGUAACAAACCUGCACUUGCAAGCUUGCGAAGAGAUUGAAGAAUGUUAAAUAGAAAGUGUGUGAUGAGGCAGUAUGAAGAAUAACUACGAAGUUUAGAAGCAAUUUGAGAAAUUAGGCUCAUUUGCCUCUAUCUUUCUCUCACCUGCUGAUCUCACAUGAUGCUUACACAUGAACUUACAAGAAGUGUGGACAUCACUGAUCACACUCCAAAAAAAUUAAGAUAGUAAACCAUUCCUCCUAUCUCAUUUUUAUGCUCUAAACUUCCCAGGCAAAGGUUUUAGGGGGAAAGGGCAUCCCUGUAUGAAACAUAGUGCUGCAUCCAUAUUUUUUUUCAAAUUGAUAAAGGUCCACUGCAAGAAAUCAUAUAUUUGAAUGGAUCUCUUGAUUCGGUGAAUUGAAAGAGGCCUCCUGGUUCGUAGCAUUGGAAGGAGACUCCUGGUCCAUAGGGUUGGAAGGGACCUCCUGGUACGUAAGGUUGGAAGGGGCCUCCUGGUUCGUAGGGUUGGAAGGGACUAAUGGUUCAUAGAGUUGGAAGGAGCCUCCUGGUCCAUAGAAUUAGAAGGAGCUUCCUGGCCCCUGGGUUGGAAGGGUCCUCCUUGUCAUGAGGGUUGGAAGGGGUCUCUUGGUCUAUAAGAUUAGAAAGGACUUCCUGGUUGGUAGAGUUGAAAGGGGCCUUCUGGUUUGUAGGGUUGGAAGGGGCCUCUUGGUCCCUGGGCUAGAAGUGACCUCCUGAUCCAUAGGGUUGGAAGGGGCCUCAUGGUUCAUAGAGCUGGAUAUGGUCUCCUGAUCCACAGGGUUGAAAGGGGCCUCUUGGUCCAUAGGAUAGAGAGAGAACUCUUGGUUCAUAGGGAUGGAAGGGACCUCCUGGUUGGUAGAGUUGGAAGGGGCCUCAUAUAUUACUGAGUCCAGAAACAAAUUCCAUGAAGAAUCUCCAGCUAAAGCAUCUCCAGCAAGCAGCUUCCCAAUCUCUUUUCUGAAGAUGUCCAGAAACAAGACCCCAUCACUUCUCUAUGCAAUUGGGUCCACUGUUGAACUGCCCUCACUGUCGAGAUGUCCCUUCUAAUUUUCAAUCGAAAUCUCUCCCCCUGUAACAUGGAACCAUUAGACCUGGUUCUACCUUCUGGGCAGUAGACAACAGACCUGUCUUUUCCUCUCUGUGACAGCCCUUGAGAUAUAAACAUCUAUAUAUCUGAAUGCCCCAUUACAGCCUCCUUCCUUUCUCCGUCAAGAAGAGUGGGAAGCAUGGACUUUGCCUGAGAAAUCAUGAAAUUACAUCUUACCAUGACUAUUAAACAAAUACAGCAUCUGUUAAUAAGACAGUCAUUAAGUAACAAAAUUGCCUAAUGCAGGGAGCCAGAUGUACCAGGACAAGAUUAUAUUAACUGCUUUUCUGGAAUAUAAGGAGGAGGAGCACAUGUUAAUAUUAGCUUCAACUGAUGCUUUCCAGACCUCCUAUGAGAAAAAAGAUCAGUAAUCAUCAAUUCAGCCGUUCCCCAAGACACACUUGUCUUCUUCGCUAAAUAUCAAUAUAAUGUACAAUUCAGUUCUACUCAGCUCCGCUGCUAAAUGAGAAGGAAAAUAGGGCAUAUAUUACAGGGUCACUGUGGGGUUCUGCUUGUGCCCACCGCGACAGAUAAAAGAAUGCCCUCAUGUAAAAUUUGAGACAUUUCCUAUGCCCCCAUCCAAGUUGCAGAAACAUAUGUAUGUCCUGGGCAUUUGGAAAGCUUAUUCUUAUUGAGGAUUAAACAGUGCAUGCUUUCCCAGGCUAAUAAAAGGCAUCAAGAUGGAUAGAGCUCACCCAUGGGACCUCAAAAUCCAGGAUUUGUGCUUGACACACCAAUAGGAACUUGAAAUCCAAGCUAAAGUUUUAUUAGAUUUAUUUGUAGAAGGCAUUUUGCAAGGUAAAAAUAUCAAGUUCUUCUGAAAAUGUAAUAAUCUACAGUCACUCAUACAAAUCUUCGCUCAAAAUAAACUAUAGGUCAAUUAUUAAAUAUAGACACAGUGUCACUGGAUUAAGACCCCACCUUCCAGCCAAAGGUAUGGUGCUCAUCAUCAAAUCAAAAUAAAGCCAGUAAAGUUCAGAAUCAGCAGAAGACCUAGAACCGAGCUUUCCAAACUGUGUGUUGCACUCCAGGGCUGGAAACCCCUAUAAUCACAGCAUCAUACAAGAGUCCAGAAUAUAAGCAAACAGUUUACUGUAAAAUAUAUCAAAAGUAUUCAAAAAUUCAGGAAUAAAGAAAAGAGAAAUAUAUCCAAAAAGGGUUUAGCAAUAAGCAAUAAUCCAACAGGAGUCCAAAUGUCUCAAACAGGUUCAAAGGCAAUACAAUCCAGGAAUAUUAAAAAAAAAUCACAAGAACGGCUUAAGUCCACAAGCAAUAGAUAUCCUUAGAAAAACUUGAUCAUAAUAUAACCACAGGAACAUAGAAAGUUCCAAAAUACUUGAAUCCCAAAACCAAACGCUUAACUUGGAACAUGGACCAGGCACUCAGAUGUAGCUUCUUACUCCACACGCUACAUUGCAUGAACUAACUUGAAAGUAAACAACUUGCCAAUUAAAAGCUGCCCAUGAAAGCAUUUAGUCUUCCCUGAAAUCUCUCCUCAGCUUUCCCAUGCAAAUGCUCUGCCUGCGAUGUCUAUUGUCUGCUCUGAUCUGUAAAUGAAGGCCUGUGAUGAUUUCCAUAUCUCCAGGUGCUUCGGUAUCAAUUCCCCGAUUCUUCCUUAUUUAAUGUCUCUGGCUGCUUGACCUGACCUUGAAGGCCUGCACUUUCACAGUCAACUUUCUCACAGACAGAAACACCAUUCCUUUGACUGAAAUAUUCAUCCCUUUAUGCCCCCGGUAAUCUCUCAGACAAGCCCAUCACUCUCAGGCUGAUCUACAAUAUUGUGUAUCAGGACCCCGGAAUGUGUCACCUAAGACACACACACACACACACUUCUGCCCCCACAAACAAAGGCAGUGCUGAGGAGAGUGAGGAGGAAGAAGAGACCCCCAAAGAGCAUUCGAUCCAGUCCCCUUCUGCCAGGCAGGAAGACAGUCAAAGCCCUCCCAACAGACAGCCAUCCAGCCUCGGUUCAGAAACGUCCAGAGAAGACGGCUCCACUGAAAGGGACUCCCCAGAAUGCAUUUAAUGCAACCUCCUUCCACCACAAAGGAAGGCACAAUCACAGAUGGCCAUCCAGUCUAUGUUUAAAAAUCUCCAGAGGGGGUUAAUCCCUACAGAAGUAUUUUAGCAUUUUUCAGGUGUAGAUAUUACUAUAAGGUAAAGGUUUCCCCUGACGUUAAGUCCAGUCGUGUCUGACUCUGGGGGUUGGUGCUCAUCUCCAUUUCGAAGCCGAAGAGCCAGCAUUGUCCAUAGACACCUCCAAGGUCAUGUGGCCAGCAUGACUGCAUAGAACGCCGUUACCUUCCCGCCGGAGCGGUACCUAUGGAUCUACUCACAUUUGCAUGUUUUCGAACUGCUAGGUUGGCAGAAGCUGGAGCUAACAGCGGGUGCUCACUCCACUACCCGGAUUUGAACCUAGGACCUUUCGGUCUGCAAGUUCAGCAGUUCAGCGCUUUAACACACUGAGCCACCAGAGGCUCCAAAUUUGCACAAAUUGUUGAGUAACCUGCAGGAAUUACCACCAAAAUGGAUGUUUCUAAUUAAGAAAAGAAAAUCUGUUGACAACUAUGUUUGUGAUGAAACCCAUGAAGGGGCUACAGAGGAAACUACACAAGAAUCAACUGCAGAACAUCAGAAAGAUAAAGGGAAAAAAAUCCAAACCCUGUUUAAACAGUAAAGAUUAUAUGAAACUUAUAAUAUAUAUUGUAUGAAAAUCUUAUGGGAGGAUAGUUUGACCUCCGGCUUGCUAGUAAAACUGAAUGACCGUGUCGCAAAAGGAGGCCUAUCUCAAAAGCGUGACAAGUUUGGAAAACUCUGAUCUAGAACAACAGUUCCCAAACUCGGGCCACUCAAGCUGGUUUUGAACUUCCGCUCCCAAACUGGCUUGGCCUCCUGGAAAUUGAAGUCCAAAACAUCUAGAGGUUGAGAAUGAUCUGAUGCUACAGCCAAACUACGGAGCAAAACUACAUUGUUGAGCCCAAUGGAACCUCGUCAUCAAGUUUUGCCUCCGACAUAAUUCUCUGCUGUCCAAUUUACUUUCGAUGUGGUUUAAUUCACAAAAAGGAACACGGAUCUCACAAAACAUGGUGCCAAGGCUCUGCCAAAACCCAGUGUAGCGGUGGCGCAGUGGAUUAAAUUGCUAACUGCAGGAAAUCUGCUGACCGGAGGGUUAGCAGUUCAAAACCGCGAGUCGAGGAGUGCUCCAACUGUCAGCCCUAGCUUCUGCCAACCUAGCAGUUCGAAAGCAUGCAAUGCGAGUAGAUCAAUAGGUACAGCCUCAAUGGGAAGUUAAAAGGGUGCCCCAUGCAGACAUGCAAACAUGCCGGCAAAACACGAUUGGAGAUUUUUAUGGACAACAGACUCCUCAACAGGGAAAAAUAUAACAAGAGCAUCUUCCCAUGGCCGGAAUUGAGCAUUGCCUCCAAACAAAGGAGAUGGAAAGGAGAAAACCUUUACCUUGUCUGUGUAUUGUAUGUCAUUGUGUAAAAGGCAUUGAAUGUUUGCAUUAUAUGUGUACUGUAAUUCGCCCUGAGUCCCUCCGGGGAGAUAAAGCGGAAUAUAAAUAAAGUGUAUUAUUAUUAUUAUUA